RNAcentral lists this ribosomal RNA (253 nucleotides) under uncultured bacterium. RNAcentral describes it as "partial 16S ribosomal RNA". It matches the Rfam family "Bacterial small subunit ribosomal RNA", at positions 524 to 776 of the family's 1533-position model. The record is from RNAcentral.
UACAGAGGGGGCAAGCGUUGUUCGGAAUUACUGGGCGUAAAGGGCGCGUAGGCGGCCUCUUAAGUCGAACGUGAAAUCCCCGGGCUCAACCCGGGAACUGCGUCCGAUACUGGGAGGCUUGAAUCCGGGAGAGGGAUGUGGAAUUCCAGGUGUAGCGGUGAAAUGCGUAGAUAUCUGGAGGAACACCGGUGGCGAAGGCGGCAUCCUGGACCGGUAUUGACGCUGAGGCGCGAAAGCGUGGGGAGCAAACAGG